Long non-coding RNA from Carassius auratus (goldfish), 947 nucleotides. RefSeq lists it as uncharacterized. The transcript has 2 exons. NCBI's taxonomy places the organism in Eukaryota, Metazoa, Chordata, Actinopteri, Cypriniformes, Cyprinidae. The record is from RefSeq and is a predicted model, not a curated record.
UUGUAGGGAAAAAAGUAAAUCUCACCUGCAGAGUCUCUCAGGAAUGUGACAAAUACUGCUUGAAAAUGUAUAAGUUUAAAUUCCCCAAUGACACAAUACUCUGUAAACAAGAGUAUCCUGUGAACUGUGAUCAGAGUAAGAACUUCACAUGCAGCUACACUCCAACUACUAAAAUUGAAGAAAAAUCAUAUUCUUUGUGCAAGCGAUCUGUGGAAAGAAAACAACAGAAUUCACUGUGGAUAUAAAAGAACCAUUAAAAACCAUAGGUGGUCCUGAAUCUAAGGAUACUGCCAUCGCUGCAGCUGUGGGAUCUUUCAGCAUCGUUCUCAUCAUCAUCAUCAUGACUAUCAUUUUCAAAAAAACAAAAACAAAAUCUUGUGGAAAUGUGAUAUAACAGCAUCGACUCAGCAGUACGAGUUCUCAUGUGCUGCUCAUGAAACACACAUCUUAAUUUUAACUCCACUCUUAACUACACACUGUACUCUACUAUCUGAUGUAUCUCUAACUUCUGAAUAUAUAACUCUGGAUGUUGGUUUCUGUUUUAUAGACGGUUUCAUCGGGCGCACGAGCAGUAACGUUUGCUUAUGUUGUUGCCGUUGAAACCAUCUAUAUUGAUUUCUGUGAAAUAACACCAUAUUAUUGAUCGGUUUGAUCAGUGUGUAUAUUUGUACAGUAUAUGUGACUUUAAUGAACUCAAACCUUUGUGAACUAUAAGAGGAAACACAGCUUAACUUAAACUGUCUUCGGUUUUGCAGUUUUUUCAGAAUUUCAAGGAAUGUCUAAAAUGAAUGUUGAUGUAUUAAUGUUAAUAUAAUUCAAGUUUGGAAAUGAUUUCUUAAUAUUUUGCACAAAUGAUUUGCAAAAUGAGAAUUGUGUGGUCUUGUACUGUCUUAUAUUAUUUUUAAAGAACAUUUAAAUGAAUAAAGACUUGUAAUACUCUCUGAAAA